This 336-nucleotide long non-coding RNA is filed under the name Mytilus galloprovincialis (Mediterranean mussel). Lineage: Eukaryota; Metazoa; Mollusca; Bivalvia; Mytilida; Mytilidae. The record is from RNAcentral.
UCUUGACAUCUAGGCAUACCAAGGAACAUUUCCAUAAAGUUUCAUCCAGCUAGGUCUUAUAAUGAAAGAUUUAGAAUUUUGAAAUUUUUUCACUUUUUUGCAGUUUCCAUGGAAACGGCGGCCAUUUAAAAAAAUUCCAGAGUCAGAUGCACAACUUCACAUGGGGGUCCUCAUUAUGUUAUAGUUCCAACAUUAUUGGAUCACUCAAUUCUUAGAAACACGAUGGACAAAAUGUGUGGAAGAAUAAUAAAAAUAAGAAAAAAAAGAAACGUAGAAUAACAAUACGUCACCCCAAACUCCGUUGAGGGUGCCAUAAUAAAAAUAAUAAGAACUGAG